GGGUGUGAUCAUACCGGAAUUAAUGCACCGGAUCCCAUCAAAACUCUAUAGUUAAGCGUUCUUGGUCUAGAGUAAUACUGGGAAGGGUGACCUCCCGGGAAGUCCUAGUGUUGCACCCU
Molecule: non-coding RNA, 119 nt
Organism: Picea glauca (white spruce)
Lineage: Eukaryota; Viridiplantae; Streptophyta; Pinopsida; Pinales; Pinaceae
Source: Rfam